CUUACUAUAAAUAAGCACGUAUUUUAAAAGCAAGGUCGUCUGCACUUUCACAUUAGUUUACUAAAUUUAGUGGAUUUUCUUCAAUUAGAUCUUUCUGCCGUUUAACAUAAACCUGAAAAUUCCAUAAGAUCACCGAGAAAAAAGGAAUUGGGGUUGGACGAAAAUCAAAAUGUGCUUUAAAAAGACAUGCGAGAAGUGUGGAAAACCAACCUGGGGAGGCUGUGGUCAGCACAUAGAACAAGCCUUAAAGGGUGUCCCAGUCGAAGAGCGCUGCAAAUGUCCACGUGAUACAAAGUCAAAGUAGGUGGAUCCCUGCUUGCUGCCUAAUAUCUCAUUCAGUUCUUGCACAUUAUUAUAGAUGAAUUGUACCACCGUGAAAGCCUUAGACGCACACAACUUCUUGAC
Molecule: long non-coding RNA, 405 nt
Organism: Lingula anatina
Lineage: Eukaryota; Metazoa; Brachiopoda; Lingulata; Lingulida; Lingulidae
Source: RefSeq, a predicted model, not a curated record